RNAcentral lists this ribosomal RNA (289 nucleotides) under uncultured bacterium. RNAcentral describes it as "partial 16S ribosomal RNA". It matches the Rfam family "Bacterial small subunit ribosomal RNA", at positions 29 to 289 of the family's 1533-position model. The record is from RNAcentral.
AUGAACGCUGGCGGCGUGGAUAAGGCAUGCAAGUCGGACGAUUUCCUUUUUUGAAGAAGAUGCGAUUACAUCAAGUCAACUGAUAUUUUGGAGAUAGUGGCGAACGAGCUAGUAACACCUUGGUACGUACCCAAAAGUUUGGUAUAGCUCGCCGAAAGGCGGGGUAAUCCCAAAUAAUCCCUCUAUCUAUCGGAUAGAAGGGUAAAGUCGCAAGACGCUUUUGGAGCGGCCUAGGACCGAUCAGUUAGUUGGUGAGGUAAUGGCUCACCAAGACGAUGACCGGUAGGGG